RNAcentral lists this non-coding RNA (24 nucleotides) under Arabidopsis thaliana (thale cress). Lineage: Eukaryota; Viridiplantae; Streptophyta; Magnoliopsida; Brassicales; Brassicaceae. The record is from RNAcentral.
UGAUGACACUAGAUGAUGCAACUG